RNAcentral lists this small nucleolar RNA (107 nucleotides) under Cephalotus follicularis. RNAcentral describes it as "Plant small nucleolar RNA R71". It matches the Rfam family "Plant small nucleolar RNA R71". Rfam says of the family: R71 is a member of the C/D box family of snoRNAs containing the C (UGAUGA) and D (CUGA) box motifs. Multiple nearly identical copies of this snoRNA have been identified in Arabidopsis, and it is thought to function as a 2'-O-ribose methylation guide for 18S ribosomal RNA. The record is from Rfam by way of RNAcentral. Lineage: Eukaryota; Viridiplantae; Streptophyta; Magnoliopsida; Oxalidales; Cephalotaceae.
AAACCAUGAUGAGGACACUCUAAGAUGAGGUAUUUGAAAUGUUCCAUACACCUAGAAAAUGAUUCAUUGGGUUACUGGCAAAACUGAAAAAUAUCGUUCCUAAGCUU